This 583-nucleotide long non-coding RNA is filed under the name Bos taurus (domestic cattle). RNAcentral describes it as "long non-coding RNA NONBTAT017454". The record is from RNAcentral. Lineage: Eukaryota; Metazoa; Chordata; Mammalia; Artiodactyla; Bovidae.
ACCCCCCAACCCCUACUCUUUUCUCUGAUGGUUAGUUUUAGUAUAGAUGCUUAUGAUUGAUUGUUUCCAUGAAAAUUAUUCAAGAUAGUUCAAGGUAAGAAUAAAAAUAAGAAAUCAUGUUUUUUAAAAGUAGUAAUCAUGAAGUCAGACACCUAAAACUGAAACUUACUCUGUCCAGUGAUAGAAAUUAGAUGUGGCAAAAAAAAAAACUACUCUCUAUAGCAGGUUUUCCCUCGCACUAUUUCAUGGCUCUGAUUUUCUUUCUUUCUGGUCUCUCAAUUAUUUUGCUCAUUUGUUUUUCACAUGACUCAUAUAGUUUAACCCAACUUUGAAAUAUUAACCUGCCCUCUUUAUCUCCUACUAAUAACUGAUUUAACCUUCUUUAAUGUUUUGAUCUAUUUCUAUUGUUAUAAAGCCUGGCUAAAAAACUUUGCUAGAGGUCAAGUCACUGGCCGAUCUGUGGAUUUUCAAAGCAUUCCAAACAACCAUUGACACAUAUGCAGUUAUAGGAAAAGUAAAACAUGGGUUUUUAGGGGCCAUGUAUCAGUCACUGUUCUCAGAUGUGAAAAAAAGCAACCUCUGA